RNAcentral lists this long non-coding RNA (265 nucleotides) under Lathyrus oleraceus (garden pea). RNAcentral describes it as "Pisum sativum (pea) long non-coding RNA (PSAT_LNC032324)". Lineage: Eukaryota; Viridiplantae; Streptophyta; Magnoliopsida; Fabales; Fabaceae. The record is from RNAcentral.
UUCUACACCUUUUUUUUGUUUUCUACUUCACCAUUUUUUUUAUUCUUUUCAACUUCUUCCUCACUCCACUCCCCAACUUCACCAUCAAUGCUAUCCUCUAUUUUUUUCUCCUCAUCUUUUUUCUCAUCCUCUCUUUUUUUACUCUCAUCUCUUUUUUCACUCUCACUAAUCAACUCCAUUCCACUUCUCGUCGUUAUCGCUUUACAAUGCUCUUUUGGAUUCGUUUGCGUGUUCGCCGAAAAAGAUGGUCCGGGUUGUUGUUCCG